This 960-nucleotide ribosomal RNA is filed under the name uncultured organism. RNAcentral's name for it is "bacterial SSU rRNA". It matches the Rfam family "Bacterial small subunit ribosomal RNA", at positions 39 to 969 of the family's 1533-position model. The record is from RNAcentral.
GCGGCGUGCUUAACACAUGCAAGUCGCACGAGAACACCUCAGCUUGCUGAGGUAAGUAAAGUGGCGCACGGGUGAGUAACGCGUGGGUAAUCUGUCCUUGGGUUCGGGAUAACUCCGCGAAAGCGGGGCUAAUACCGGAUGACAUCAUUGAGGCUUUGGUUUCAAUGAUUAAAGGUGGCCUCUCCAUGGAAGCUAUUGCUUGGGGGUGAGCCCGCGUACCAUUAGCUGGUUGGUAGGGUAAUGGCCUACCAAGGCGACGAUGGUUAGCUGGUCUGAGAGGAUGAUCAGCCACACUGGAACUGACACACGGUCCAGACUCCUACGGGAGGCAGCAGUGAGGAAUUUUGCGCAAUGGGGGGAACCCUGACGCAGCAACGCCGCGUGAGUGAUGAAGGCCUUCGGGUCGUAAAGCUCUGUCAAGUGGGAAGAAUCCAUCCUGGCCCAACACGUUGGGGUGUUGACGGUACCACUGAAGGAAGCACCGGCUAACUCCGUGCCAGCAGCCGCGGUAAUACGGAGGGUGCAAGCGUCAUUCGGAAUUAUUGGGCGUAAAGGGCGCGUAGGCGGCCAGGCAAGUCAGAUGUGAAAUCCCGGGGCUUAACCCCGGAAGUGCAUUUGAAACUGCUUGGCUUGAGUAUGGGAGAGGGAAGUGGAAUUCCUGGUGUAGCGGUGAAAUGCGUAGAUAUCAGGAGGAACACCGGUGGCGAAGGCGGCUUCCUGGACCAAUACUGACGCUGAGGCGCGAAGGCGUGGGGAGCAAACAGGAUUAGAUACCCUGGUAGUCCACGCAGUAAACGGUGAUCACUAGGUGUAGCGGGUAUUGACCCCUGCUGUGCCCGGAGUUAACGCAUUAAGUGAUCCGCCUGGGGAGUACGGGCGGCAAGUUCAAACUCAAAGGAAUUGACGGGGGGCCGCACAAGCGGUGGAGCAUGUGGUUCAAUUCGAGGCAACGCGAAGAAC